Chelonia mydas (Green sea turtle) is the source of this 2470-nucleotide long non-coding RNA. RefSeq lists it as uncharacterized. The transcript has 3 exons. Lineage: Eukaryota; Metazoa; Chordata; Testudines; Cheloniidae. The record is from RefSeq and is a predicted model, not a curated record.
UUCUCAUCCCAGACUAGUCUGCCGCCAAGAGCCCUCCCCAGUCCGGGGCAGCCUGUGCCCGAGUCCGCAGUGAGCCUGAAACAGUAGCACUGAUGCUUGUCUCCUACCACAUCUGGCCCUGGAUGCGUUGACUCAAACAAAACGAGGUGCUUGCAAACUGGUUAUUUGCUCCAUUGUCUUUCUGGGUACCAAAGUUAAACUGACUAGUCUACAAUUCCCUGGUUGUCCUUCCCCUUACAGGACCACUGCAGGAAGCGCAAGGCUCAGAGGACCCUGUUGGUCCCCAUGCCUAGAUUUCUGGAAGCCCACCCCCCACCCCUCCUGCAGGAAAAUGAACAGUCACCCCCUUGCACAGCAGAGACAUCCACAUCUUCAGGAGUCAUUCUCCCCACACUUUGUAACACCAGUGUAAGUAUUGCUUUCCUUACAUGUGCUGAGCAGUGAAGAUAGUGAAUACUGACAUCUAAAUCACACCACAAUAGCUGAUUUAGCACUCAUUAAACAAACGGGGCUGUUCAGGCCCUCUGCAAACAAUAGGUAAGGGGGUAAAACAUCUCUGCAUCGGUGGAACUUGUUUUCCAGCGAAUUUGUUCUUUGCCACUGCAACAGCUAGAGAGAUUUUAAAAGGAAAGCCAAGACACUACACUAGUUGAGAGGGCUGUCUGUGCCCCUGCUGACUACUCCUCUGGGCUUCCCUUCUCCCCAGGGCAGGGUGUGCAUCUUGCUUUAAUGCUGCUGUAGCAAAUGCACUGACCUACAGUUUGGCACAUCAGCAGGGGUCCCCAUCCUUGAUCCAGUUCCGCCACCUCUGUCAGCAGCACCCUGCUCAGGGUUAGAGGCCUGCCAACAGAUAUGGCCUCAUGAUCCUGCCUUGUUAACCAUCCCUCCUCCAAAUGGAUUCACCCCUCACCCCCUGGAGGGUCACUUACCUCCUUGACGAUGUCCCCCUCCAGCAGGAAGCUGCUUUCCGGUGCUUCUGGAGGAAUGAGCUCUGGAAGUAGGAGAAUCCCCAUCAUUUGAAUCACCCCAUGCCUCGGGGCAGGUACCUCACCUGCUUGCAUCACCAGGUGAGCAGCCAGCCCAGAGUCUGAACAUUCCCUGCAUCCUGAUGCCAGGAAGCUCCACCCAGCCGGUUUGUUAGGAGUCAGCGUAAAUCAGCUGCUUGGCAGCCAGCCAUCUGUUUGGCAGCUGUCCACUGCCCAUGCUUAGUUACUACCAGUCUCUUCCCCUUGCCCCCACAGGGGGAUUGGGUCAGAUGUGCUUUUGGCCACUGUUCUCAUGGCUUGUGUUAUCACAGGCAUCCCAUUGCCCACUCCCAAGUCUGGAGGGGUCUGAGAGACAGGUGUGGAAAGCAGAGCCCCAGCAAGAGCUGCUAGACCUCAGAAUGAUGGUUAGAGGCACAUGGCGCACCAAUUGGGCCACUUAACCCAAGCCUGAGAUGAGCUGGGUCAGUUCAGGUUUCUGGGAAUUGCGGGCCCCAUACCACACCAAGACACUGCUGGAGACUUGCUGGGAUAAGCCACCAUCAGCAGAGCCCCAGCUGAGGCAGGGAGCAUGCCUGCAUACACUGGCUGGUGUGAAGAUGGCAUUCCUGGUCAUACAGAUGUGGACAUCUGGGCAGAACAGGACCCAGCAAAUAUGAGCUUCUAGCAUUCAGAUGGAUCUGCAGACACAAAUGCCUCAAAACACAAGGGGAUUUCCUACCUUGGUUAAUGUUGAGGAUCUCAUCACUAGCAGGUGGAUUCCCAGCCAUACCAAUAGCAUGUUGAGGAUUUCUGAGCUGGAGGGAGUUGCCAGGGCCUCCUGUAGGGAGAGCUAGACAGAGGGAGAUUAAAAAAAAGUUAUUGGAGAUUUCACUCCCACCCCCUCUUGGGUAAGUCAGGGACAGCCAUCAAGAUGGUUUCACGUCUUUUCCAUCCCAAGCAGUAUCUAACCCACUGAGCUCCAACUCCAGCUGCAGUUUCAGGAGUGACUUGUGAUCUGGGCUGCCUGAUUUGACACAUGGAGAGGGCUGCUAUUCAGAGUGCUGAUCACCCACCCACCCAGAGUCAGGCCUGGGUCAGGGCACUAGGGCAAUCUCAAAAUUGGGCAUGUUGUGAUGGAGGUAGCACCAGCUGCACCCAGGACAAACUAGAAUACAGCUCCCUCUCCCACAGCAGUAUUGGCUUUGCAGGGCCCCACUGGAGCCAGGAAAGGCAGCAGACCGCUCGGAGCAGUACAGGCCAGAUUUGUCAGGUGCAUGCUGUUCUCACAGCUUGUCGUCACUUUUACCAAGUCUGCCUUUAGACACCAGGAGCCUCCAUUCCAACUCUUGAAAGGUCUCACCCCUGGAGUGCCCAGGUCACAAGAACAGGAGGACGUGUGGCACCUUAGAGGCUAACAAAUUUAUUAGAGCAUAAGCUUUUGUGGGCUACAGUCCACUUCAUUGGAUGCAUAGAAGUGAACAGAGUAAGAAGAUUUAUAUACACAC